UCCUCCUUUUGCUAGCGUUGUUCGGAUUUACUGGGCGUAAAGCGCAUGUAGGCGGAUAUUUAAGUCAGAGGUGAAAUCCCAGGGCUCAACCCUGGAACUGCCUUUGAUACUGGAUGUCUUGAGUAUGGAAGAGGUGAGUGGAAUUCCGAGUGUAGAGGUAAAAUUCGUAGAUAUUCGGAGGAACACCAGUGGCGAAGGCGGCUCACUGGUCCAUUACUGACGCUGAGGUGCGAAAGCGUGGGGAGCAAACA
Molecule: ribosomal RNA, 251 nt
Filed under: uncultured Bartonella sp.
Lineage: Bacteria; Pseudomonadati; Pseudomonadota; Alphaproteobacteria; Hyphomicrobiales; Bartonellaceae
Description: partial 16S ribosomal RNA
Rfam family: Bacterial small subunit ribosomal RNA
Source: RNAcentral